This 301-nucleotide ribosomal RNA is filed under the name uncultured bacterium. RNAcentral describes it as "partial 16S ribosomal RNA". It matches the Rfam family "Bacterial small subunit ribosomal RNA", at positions 509 to 807 of the family's 1533-position model. The record is from RNAcentral.
CAGUCGCCACGGUAAUACAGAGGGUGCAAGCGUUAAUCGGAAUUACUGGGCGUAAAGCGCGCGUAGGUGGUUUGUUAAGUUGGAUGUGAAAUCCCCGGGCUCAACCUGGGAACUGCAUUCAAAACUGACUGACUAGAGUAUGGUAGAGGGUGGUGGAAUUUCCUGUGUAGCGGUGAAAUGCGUAGAUAUAGGAAGGAACACCAGUGGCGAAGGCGACCACCUGGACUAAUACUGACACUGAGGUGCGAAAGCGUGGGGAGCAAACAGGAUUAGAUACCCGUGUAGUCCCUGUCUCUUAUAC